GUAGGGAAUAUUGGGCAAUGGGGGAAACCCUGACCCAGCAACGCCGCGUGAGGGAAGAAGGCCUAACGGUUGUAAACCUCUGUCAUAUGGGAAGAAGGAAUGACAGUACCAUAUGAGGAAGCUCCGGCUAACUACGUGCCAGCAGCCGCGGUAAUACGUAGGGAGCAAGCGUUGUCCGGAAUUACUGGGCGUAAAGGGUGCGUAGGCGGCAUGUUAAGUUAGAUGUCAAAUACCCGGGCUUAACCAGGGGACGCAUCUAAAACUGGCGUGCUUGAGUGCAGGAGAGGAAAGCGGAAUUCCUAGUGUAGCGGUGGAAUGCGUAGAUAUUAGGAGGAACACCAGUGGCGAAGGCGGCUUUCUGGACUGUAACUGACGCUGAAGCACGAAAGCGUGGGGAGCAAACAGGAUUAGAAACCCGUGUAGUCC
This 426-nucleotide ribosomal RNA is filed under the name uncultured bacterium. RNAcentral's name for it is "partial 16S ribosomal RNA". It matches the Rfam family "Bacterial small subunit ribosomal RNA", at positions 354 to 796 of the family's 1533-position model. The record is from RNAcentral.